This 995-nucleotide ribosomal RNA is filed under the name uncultured bacterium. Its description in RNAcentral is "bacterial SSU rRNA". It matches the Rfam family "Bacterial small subunit ribosomal RNA", at positions 356 to 1376 of the family's 1533-position model. The record is from RNAcentral. RNAcentral also lists the same sequence under 1 other name.
GGGGAAUAUUGCACAAUGGGGGAAACCCUGAUGCAGCGACGCCGCGUGGAGGAAGAAGGUCUUCGGAUUGUAAACUCCUGUUGUUGAGGAAGAUAAUGACGGUACUCAACAAGGAAGUGACGGCUAACUACGUGCCAGCAGCCGCGGUAAAACGUAGGUCACAAGCGUUGUCCGGAAUUACUGGGUGUAAAGGGAGCGCAGGCGGGAAGACAAGUUGGAAGUGAAAUCUAUGGGCUCAACCCAUAAACUGCUUUCAAAACUGUUUUUCUUGAGUAGUGCAGAGGUAGGCGGAAUUCCCGGUGUAGCGGUGGAAUGCGUAGAUAUCGGGAGGAACACCAGUGGCGAAGGCGGCCUACUGGGCACCAACUGACGCUGAGGCUCGAAAGUGUGGGUAGCAAACAGGAUUAGAUACCCUGGUAGUCCACACCGUAAACGAUGAUUACUAGGUGUUGGAGGAUUGACCCCUUCAGUGCCGCAGUUAACACAAUAAGUAAUCCACCUGGGGAGUACGACCGCAAGGUUGAAACUCAAAGGAAUUGACGGGGGCCCGCACAAGCAGUGGAGUAUGUGGUUUAAUUCGACGCAACGCGAAGAACCUUACCAAGUCUUGACAUCCUGCGACGAUGCUGGAAACAGUAUUUUCCUUCGGGACGCAGAGACAGGUGGUGCACGGUUGUCGUCAGCUCGUGUCGUGAGAUGUUGGGUUAAGUCCCGCAACGAGCGCAACCCUUACUGUCAGUUACUACGCAAGAGGACUCUGGCAGGACUGCCGUUGACAAAACGGAGGAAGGUGGGGAUGACGUCAAAUCAUCAUGCCCUUUAUGACUUGGGCUACACACGUACUACAAUGGCGUUAAACAAAGAGAAGCAAGACCGCGAGGUGGAGCAAAACUCAGAAACAACGUCCCAGUUCGGACUGCAGGCUGCAACUCGCCUGCACGAAGUCGGAAUUGCUAGUAAUCGUGGAUCAGCAUGCCACGGUGAAUACGUUCCCG